RNAcentral lists this transfer-messenger RNA (69 nucleotides) under candidate division TM6 bacterium RIFCSPHIGHO2_12_FULL_38_8. RNAcentral describes it as "partial transfer-messenger RNA". It matches the Rfam family "transfer-messenger RNA", at positions 305 to 374 of the family's 374-position model. Rfam says of the family: Bacterial tmRNA, also known as 10Sa RNA or SsrA, is named for its dual tRNA and mRNA-like properties. Its role is to liberate the mRNA from a stalled ribosome. The record is from RNAcentral.
AAACUAAACAUGUAGUGCUUUUGAUUUGAUUUUCUGCGGACAUGGGUUCGAUUCCCAUCGCCUCCACCA